Macadamia integrifolia is the source of this 3350-nucleotide long non-coding RNA. RefSeq lists it as uncharacterized. The record is from RefSeq and is a predicted model, not a curated record. NCBI's taxonomy places the organism in Eukaryota, Viridiplantae, Streptophyta, Magnoliopsida, Proteales, Proteaceae. The transcript has 3 exons.
AUCAUCCUGUCGAGGGAAUUAGGUUAUCCUCGUCAUUAUUGACAGAAUAGUCAAACACUGACUAGCAAAAAGUGUAGUGAAUUUUCUCAUCUUCACCUUAAUCCUGAGAAAUUUUUGAAAGCUCUAUAUACAUAUUUACUUACAUGCAUGCUCUAUCUAUUUGAAAAAAAAAUGUUUGGGCAAUCAGUCUGUCAAUAGAGUUGAGAAACUUGAUUUGGAAAACAAUUUCCACUUUCUUUAGUUCUUGUAUGCUACAUGCAUAACAAAUGCUUAGUAUACACCAGGUGACAAUAAUUCCCUCCUACAGGAAUUAUGAGUUGCCUGAAUGAAAACUAUCGUUCAAAAAAGACCUGAAAACAUAUAACAGGGGAAACUGUGAAAAAGAGACACCAGUGUUGAAUACUAGGUAGUUUGAGAGAAAACUAUUUUUGUGCCUCUGAGAGAGGUGAGGUGCUUUGUUAGCAUUCAAAUCACAUAAUUAAAGGUGGAAAGGAUUCGAAAAGUAUGAUCACAUGGAGAGCAAUUCAAAAAUAAAAGUCCUCUACCAUCUGUCUUUUGUUAUCUCUUAACCAAAGUUGGUGCAACCGAAUUUCUUGUUGAAUCAGUCACCUGAUAGUUAACCAUACAAUUCAUUAGUCUCCCACAGAGUGGAGUUCCAAGGAAGACUGUUCUUUUGCUCAACUAGGCCUCUUCCUAUACUAGAGGCCCUGCUGUCUGUAAUGUAUUCUAAAAAAAAGUUCAUAUUGUACCACUUCCAAUGAAUAUAACAUUCUCUUGAAUCCCUAGAUGGGCCAACCAAAUGGCAGGUUUGCUCAAUAAAGUCGGUGUAAGUUGAAAAAUUCAAAUGUGAGAUUGAUACUACUGUUGCGCUGUCAGUUUGUAGUUUUCCAUUUUCCUUUUACUUGUUUAUUAUAUUUCCCAUUCUGUUGGGGUGGAUGCUUUUGAUUAUCGUUUUCAUUACAGAAAAUAAAAUUUUCUUUGUUAUUCAUGAAAUAUAUUACCAGCAUUCUUGGUAUACCCUGCUAAUUUGUGAAAACCAUAGGAUGCAUCCACUUCCUUCAGCCAUCAUUAAGUGUCACAGUUGAAAUCUACUUUAUAAGUCUUUUAACCAAACCAGGUAAAAAAUGUUAUUCAUGAGCAAUGGUCCAGAAAAAUAUGCUAACUGUCUCUUAGAAGGAACUAAAUGAGCUACCUUGCAUCUAUGAAAAGGUCUGCAGAACCCUACACAUUGAUAAGCCUACAUUGUGCUACAGUUAUUGAAAUGUAUAAUAAGAUAAGAAAUGAUUUAUAAAGCGAAAAAGGCUGGAAGAUAUAGCCUUUGAUAGAGCAGAAUCAUGAAACCUAAAAUAGGAUUCUCACAGAGGAGACCAGGUAGUUGUCAUAAGCAUGGUUCAAGGUUUUGCAAGAUUUUGGUAGGUUUGUUUUGCGGUUUCGCCAAGUAUCGAAAAAAUGACCUCCAAAAUGCAAGGGUGUAGCUAUAGGGAUGUGGAAAAAUUCACCAAGGUUCCUUAGAGAAACACCCACCAGUAGUUAUAGGCCCGAUACUUUUGAGACAGAUGUAGAGUAGAGACAGUUCCAGCAAGCUAGGGCAGAUAGUCGAGUCUCACAUCAGAUAGAGAGGGUUAGGGCUGCAGAGAUGGGAAAGGAGUUGGUGCCUCUAGCUCUAGAGCAACUGCACCAAAGACAAGGCUCACAGGGGAGAGGAGGAAGAAGCAGAGGCAAGGGGAUUUGCUUUUCAGGAGAUCAUAGAAUGUGAGGGCACCCCCACCAUAAGUACAAGUCCUAGAUGAUGAUCCCAUUGAGGUUCUUCAGCAGCAUCCAUCCGAUAUACAGGACUCAGGAUACCAAACAGAGAACUAUAAAGUAGGUCUAGGGUGGUUGAAAAGGGAAACUUGGUGAUACCAUUUCAAAGUUCUUUUAUAAUAGCAUCCCAACUAAUUCUGCUUAGAGAACAUACUACCAGGCCAUGCUUAACAUUGCAGGGAAGGCUGGCCCAGGAGUGAAGGGACCCAUUCUAUGGGAAUUGAUGAAUCUCUAUUUGUCCUAGCAAAAGGAGCUAGAUGAGGACAUUGGCACAUUGAGGGGGACAUGACAGAACUUGAUGUCUCACACUAGACAAGUCCAUCAUCAACUUCAUGUUCUAUUGUGAUGGUAAGACUAUAUUUUAAAAUCCUUGGAUAAUAUAUCCUUGGAUGCAUCCAAGGAGAAAAGGGAUGCAAAGUACAUCAACACAUUGCUGAAGGAUGUUGUGGAUGAGGUAGGGCCACAAAAUGUUGUCCAAGUGGUGACAGAUAAUGGGAGCAACAUUAAGAAGACAGGUGAGAGAUUGAUGAAUAGGCACAACAGCAAAAACCACGUCUUUUGGACACCAUAUGUAGCCUACUACAUUGAUCUCAUGCUUAAAGACAUGGGGAAGAGAUCCUUUGUGGUCAAGCGGGCAAGACAAGUGACCACAUUUGUCUACAACCAUGGAUACGCUUGAGAGAAAAGAGAGAGAGAGAAUUUGGUGAGGCCUAACAUUACUCGAUUUGCCACCAACUAUAUUACAUUAAAGAGUUUUAAGGCAAAAAAUGGUUGGUCUGAUGUCCAUGUUCACUUCAAAGGAAUGGUUUGGUUAAAGGGAGUUGGGUUCGCCACAAUGUAAGGCGGUAUGUGCUCCAUCUCUAAUGACCAAUUCUGACAGGACUUGAAGAAGGUCCUUAUAUUGGAACCAGUGGUAAAAGUAUUGAUUAUGGUAGACUCUGAGAAGAAGCUUACUAUGCCACAUUUCUUUGCUGCGAUGGAGAUGAUGAAGGAACACGUGACAAUAGUGUUACCUUGAGGUGGAAGGCGUACCUGAAAUUGUUGAGGACCAAGGGGAGAAGCACUCUAUGCAUCCCAUUGCUUUUUAUAUGUUUAGUUCAAGGUAUCACUACAAGCGUCGACUUGGGAUGGAUAAUCACUGAUAGUAGUGAAAAUGUGGUCUAAGUUGGAGCCUAAUGCAAGUAUACAGGCGAAAUGCAAUAAUAAGGUGAGACUUGGUAGUCAUUAACUUGUCCAAUAUUUAUAAGAAAUGUAAUUACUUGAUUUUGUAGUAAUGCGAGGUAUUGUUUGAAAUGAGUUUGGAUAAAGACCAUCUUGGAUGCCCUUGGGAGUUUCGAUCAUGCAGUCACAAAAUCUUCGAGAGAAGGCUCAGAACCUGGUUCUCUUCUCGAGAAAGAAGUGGGGUAUUUCUUUGCAAAAUUGUGCUCAAUUUCAUAUGUGGCAAUUCCGUCAAGAUCUCUUCGUUAUUGGGGGAAGAAUCCGCACGAAUCGGAUUUUUUGAGGAACGUAUCCAGAGAGAAUUGGAAAACUAGAAAAUAUCAAGAGAA